RNAcentral lists this transfer RNA (72 nucleotides) under Camelus bactrianus (Bactrian camel). It matches the Rfam family "tRNA". From Rfam's summary of the family: Transfer RNA (tRNA) molecules are approximately 80 nucleotides in length. The record is from Rfam by way of RNAcentral. Lineage: Eukaryota; Metazoa; Chordata; Mammalia; Artiodactyla; Camelidae. RNAcentral also lists the same sequence under 2 other names.
GUAGGUACAGCUCAGUGAUAGUGUGUAUGCUUAGCAUGCAUGAGGUCCUGGGUUCAAUCCCCUGUACCUCCU